Non-coding RNA from Gasterosteus aculeatus aculeatus (three-spined stickleback), 289 nucleotides. NCBI's taxonomy places the organism in Eukaryota, Metazoa, Chordata, Actinopteri, Perciformes, Gasterosteidae. The record is from RefSeq and is a predicted model, not a curated record.
UGAAGUAAGUUAGAGUAAGUAAGAGUGAGCAGGAAACCUAUGAUUCAUCGAAAAAUGAACAACUUUAAUUUGAAUAUUGACGCAUGAGCCAUUCAACGUCGGGAGCUUCGGGGAAGAUGACGAAACCUUUGAACAUUUGAUUGAAGUUCGGCUGUUUUUUGUUGGUUAGCUCCAUCACUGGAACCAGAAGCACUGUCCGGUCUGCCACCACAUCUUCAUCAUCUUCAUCCAUCCACCACCAAGAGGACCCUCACACCGGACGUCACAGUGCGCCUGGAGUCCCUUUGAC